This 1802-nucleotide long non-coding RNA is filed under the name Capsicum annuum. RNAcentral's name for it is "long non-coding RNA (CANN_LNC020055)". Lineage: Eukaryota; Viridiplantae; Streptophyta; Magnoliopsida; Solanales; Solanaceae. The record is from RNAcentral.
GCAACUAUAAUAGAAAUCUAUCUGCUUCUUAACCGGUUAAUAUAUUAAUUAUACUUGAGUCGUGCUAGGCACUGUCCAAAGAAAAAUUUCAGCAGUGUGAAAUGUUUCUCCAGGAUUAAACAAGCACUUCCCUAAUUAAUUAGAGGAUACAAGAAUCAACAAAGUUAUUAAUACAAAUAUCAACAAGUUAAAAUAUUAAAGCAAAAUAAAAACAACAACAAUAGGUGAUAGCCCUUUCUUUUUCCAAAUACACAAUAAAUUAUUUUCCUACAACAAACACCUAUUAGAACAUGGAUUCGGAAAAGCAAAACUUUAAGCCGAUUAUAAGCGAUAUUGGAUAUCCUCUACGCGUCCACUCGUGAGGACAAAGCUGAGUGUUCCAGACAGUUGUUUGAUCGAUCCUGUGACUGUAAAAACAAGGUAACCCAACAGUCUUAUUCCUGAAUGUAAAAACAAGGUUACUGGUGCAUCAGGAAUAGGACUGUUGGGUUACCGAUUCUGGAACACUCAGCUUUGUCCUCACCGAGUGGAUGCGUAGAGGAUAUCCAAUAUCACUUAUAAUCGGCUUUAAGUUUCGCUUUCCGAAUCUAUGUUGUAAUAGGUGUUUGUUUACUUCAGUACUUCCAUAGCACGUAACAUUGUCUCGAUUUACAGUCCUUAAAAAGUAAUUUCCAACAGACACAAUUAACUUAUUUUAUUGGAUGUCCACCAUAGCUUUUCUAGAGAUAGCUUUUCCACGUAGUUUUUCUUCAUUGAAUCUCAAACUCGAUUUAGGGUGCGGCAUCGAAGAGAAAUAAUUUUUGACUCUAGGGCUGAGAAACACUUGCUCAAGUGUUGUUGCACAUCUCAGAAUAUAAACAACAAAUUCCAUCUCGACCUCUGAUCCUUCAAAAAAUCGACAGUAUAUAACUUGUUUUAGUUGAGUGUGAUAUUUAAGAGAUGAAAGAGGCCUUCUGCUUCCUCUUAUCUCCUUUGUUCUCGUAAUUUAAACCACCUGAGAUUGAUCACAGUGAGAAUAAGAUCAACAUACUGCUAAAUAAUUACAACGAGGAAUUGAUAGUUUGACAAAACUAAACUGAACUAACAGUGGACUGUAAGGAAUAUUACUCAUUACUUGGUAGUUCAUUGUGCAGGGAAUCACACCAAAUUAACAAACGUAAAUGUAUUUAAGCGUUUGAAUUAGCCAGCGACCAGUAAAGUUGGACAUUUCUGUAGCUUAUAAAGCAAUGUUUAAACAUACAGUUUGCAAAUCUUCGCAAUCUAUCUUGAAGACUUUUCACUGUUACAAAUAGAUGAAACUGCACUAUACAACAACACACCCAGACCGUACACCAUCGAUACAAGGUAGAGAGGCUGCUUGUGAGAGAGAUCGAGGAGCUGCACUGUGCAUCUACAGAUUAUUAUAAAAUCAAUGCUCUUUCACAUCAUCUUAUGAAGCCAAGUGGAUUUUAUUUGUGAAUAAGAUGCAAGUAUGACUCCUUUGUACUUAAAAAUAUAUGAUAAGACUUGUAGGAUUUCAAAAAUCAUUAAAACAAAUGGAUAUGGUUGUUAAUUACCUCUAAACACAAAAUGAUAGUUAACGAACAAGAAUAUCAAAAAAAUAUAAGAAUUAUGAAAAGAAGAAGAUCAUGAAGAUGGAUAACUCACCACGAAACUCAAAGAUUGGAGAAGAGGAUGAUUCCAUUGUUUAAUGCCAUGGUUUGAUAAAAUUAAAAUUGAACAUGUAUUUAUGUAUAUAUACUAAAUUGCACGAGAGUCAUAAAUGUGAUUUGCAAAGAAACAGCUAGUUUCCUAGAUUUAGG